This 1940-nucleotide ribosomal RNA is filed under the name Escherichia coli. Its description in RNAcentral is "partial 23S ribosomal RNA". It matches the Rfam family "Bacterial large subunit ribosomal RNA", at positions 202 to 2167 of the family's 2925-position model. RNAcentral also lists the same sequence under 1 other name. The record is from RNAcentral. Lineage: Bacteria; Pseudomonadati; Pseudomonadota; Gammaproteobacteria; Enterobacterales; Enterobacteriaceae.
CUAAGUACCCCGAGGAAAAGAAAUCAACCGAGAUUCCCCCAGUAGCGGCGAGCGAACGGGGAGCAGCCCAGAGCCUGAAUCAGUGUGUGUGUUAGUGGAAGCGUCUGGAAAGGCGCGCGAUACAGGGUGACAGCCCCGUACACAAAAAUGCACAUGCUGUGAGCUCGAUGAGUAGGGCGGGACACGUGGUAUCCUGUCUGAAUAUGGGGGGACCAUCCUCCAAGGCUAAAUACUCCUGACUGACCGAUAGUGAACCAGUACCGUGAGGGAAAGGCGAAAAGAACCCCGGCGAGGGGAGUGAAAAAGAACCUGAAACCGUGUACGUACAAGCAGUGGGAGCACGCUUAGGCGUGUGACUGCGUACCUUUUGUAUAAUGGGUCAGCGACUUAUAUUCUGUAGCAAGGUUAACCGAAUAGGGGAGCCGAAGGGAAACCGAGUCUUAACUGGGCGUUAAGUUGCAGGGUAUAGACCCGAAACCCGGUGAUCUAGCCAUGGGCAGGUUGAAGGUUGGGUAACACUAACUGGAGGACCGAACCGACUAAUGUUGAAAAAUUAGCGGAUGACUUGUGGCUGGGGGUGAAAGGCCAAUCAAACCGGGAGAUAGCUGGUUCUCCCCGAAAGCUAUUUAGGUAGCGCCUCGUGAAUUCAUCUCCGGGGGUAGAGCACUGUUUCGGCAAGGGGGUCAUCCCGACUUACCAACCCGAUGCAAACUGCGAAUACCGGAGAAUGUUAUCACGGGAGACACACGGCGGGUGCUAACGUCCGUCGUGAAGAGGGAAACAACCCAGACCGCCAGCUAAGGUCCCAAAGUCAUGGUUAAGUGGGAAACGAUGUGGGAAGGCCCAGACAGCCAGGAUGUUGGCUUAGAAGCAGCCAUCAUUUAAAGAAAGCGUAAUAGCUCACUGGUCGAGUCGGCCUGCGCGGAAGAUGUAACGGGGCUAAACCAUGCACCGAAGCUGCGGCAGCGACACUAUGUGUUGUUGGGUAGGGGAGCGUUCUGUAAGCCUGUGAAGGUGUACUGUGAGGUAUGCUGGAGGUAUCAGAAGUGCGAAUGCUGACAUAAGUAACGAUAAAGCGGGUGAAAAGCCCGCUCGCCGGAAGACCAAGGGUUCCUGUCCAACGUUAAUCGGGGCAGGGUGAGUCGACCCCUAAGGCGAGGCCGAAAGGCGUAGUCGAUGGGAAACAGGUUAAUAUUCCUGUACUUGGUGUUACUGCGAAGGGGGGACGGAGAAGGCUAUGUUGGCCGGGCGACGGUUGUCCCGGUUUAAGCGUGUAGGCUGGUUUUCCAGGCAAAUCCGGAAAAUCAAGGCUGAGGCGUGAUGACGAGGCACUACGGUGCUGAAGCAACAAAUGCCCUGCUUCCAGGAAAAGCCUCUAAGCAUCAGGUAACAUCAAAUCGUACCCCAAACCGACACAGGUGGUCAGGUAGAGAAUACCAAGGCGCUUGAGAGAACUCGGGUGAAGGAACUAGGCAAAAUGGUGCCGUAACUUCGGGAGAAGGCACGCUGAUAUGUAGGUGAAGUCCCUCGCGGAUGGAGCUGAAAUCAGUCGAAGAUACCAGCUGGCUGCAACUGUUUAUUAAAAACACAGCACUGUGCAAACACGAAAGUGGACGUAUACGGUGUGACGCCUGCCCGGUGCCGGAAGGUUAAUUGAUGGGGUCAGCGCAAGCGAAGCUCUUGAUCGAAGCCCCGGUAAACGGCGGCCGUAACUAUAACGGUCCUAAGGUAGCGAAAUUCCUUGUCGGGUAAGUUCCGACCUGCACGAAUGGCGUAAUGAUGGCCAGGCUGUCUCCACCCGAGACUCAGUGAAAUUGAACUCGCUGUGAAGAUGCAGUGUACCCGCGGCAAGACGGAAAGACCCCGUGAACCUUUACUAUAGCUUGACACUGAACAUUGAGCCUUGAUGUGUAGGAUAGGUGGGAGGCUUUGAAGUGUGG